This 417-nucleotide ribosomal RNA is filed under the name uncultured bacterium. RNAcentral describes it as "bacterial SSU rRNA". It matches the Rfam family "Bacterial small subunit ribosomal RNA", at positions 356 to 773 of the family's 1533-position model. The record is from RNAcentral.
AGGGAAUAUUGCGCAAUGGAGGGAACUCCGACGCAGCGACGCCGCGUGAGCGAUGAAGGUCUUCGGAUCGUAAAGCUCUGUCCUUGGGGAAGAAUGCUGUUGAAGAAACAGCUUGACGGUACCCGAGGAGGAAGCCCCGGCUAACUACGUGCCAGCAGCCGCGGUAAUACGUAGGGGGCAAGCGUUGUCCGGAAUUAUUGGGCGUAAAGGGUGCGUAGGCGGCCUUUUAAGUCAGAUGUGAAAGACCACGGCUUAACCGUGGGGUUGCAUUUGAAACUGGAGGGCUUGAGUAUCGGAGAGGGUAGUGGAAUUCCCAGUGUAGCGGUGGAAUGCGUAGAUAUUGGGAGGAACACCAGUGGCGAAGGCGACUACCUGGACGAAAACUGACGCUGAGGCACGAAAGCUAGGGGAGCAAAC